Molecule: ribosomal RNA, 433 nt
Filed under: uncultured bacterium
Lineage: Bacteria
Description: partial 16S ribosomal RNA
Rfam family: Bacterial small subunit ribosomal RNA
Source: RNAcentral
AACGAACGCUGGCGGCAUGCCUAACACAUGCAAGUCGAACGAGACCUUCGGGUCUAGUGGCGCACGGGUGCGUAACGCGUGGGAACCUGCCCUUAGGUUCGGAAUAACACCCCGAAGGGGGUGCUAAUACCGGAAAACGUCUUCGGACCAAAGAUUUAUCUCGUUUGGAUGGGCCCGCGUUGUAUUAGCCAGUUGGUAGGGUAAAAGCCUACCAAGGCGACGAUCCAUAGCUGGUCUGAGAGGAUGAUCCGCCACACUGGGACUGAGACACGGCCCAGACUCUUACGGGAGGCAGCAGUGGGGAAUAUUGGACAAUGGGCGAAAGCCUGAUCCAGCUAUGCCGCGUGAGUGAUGAAGGCCUUAGGGUUGUAAAGCUCUUUUACCCGGGAUGAUAAUGACAGUACCGGGAGAAUAAGCUCCGGCUAACUCCGUG